This is a long non-coding RNA of Alligator mississippiensis (American alligator), 535 nucleotides long. RefSeq lists it as uncharacterized. The transcript is spliced from 2 exons. NCBI's taxonomy places the organism in Eukaryota, Metazoa, Chordata, Crocodylia, Alligatoridae. The record is from RefSeq and is a predicted model, not a curated record.
CUUACCCUUCCCGCGCAGCCUCGCGAUUGAUCGGAACCACCCCGGGGGCCUGUCCCCAAGGGCCUUCCGCUGCUCAGUGUCUAACUCAGGGGAGAAAAUCAUGCAGAUGGAGAAGGGAGGAAAUGGAACUUCUGUCCCAGUCAGAUGUACCAUGUGUGUUGUCUGUGGAGUGGGACCAGCACACCACGCUGAUGAACAACACAGAAUGCCCAUCAAGCAACAUCAAGUUGUAUUAUCUUUUCUAUCUAAUCUCUGAUGAAGAAACAAUGUGACCCUCCUCUUCUCCCCACACGUGCAUCCUGGACCUGUGGCUAGUUGUCUAGAAGAAGGAAUGCCACAGAGGUAACUGACAUCCCCCUUCCAUAUGGGGAGGGACAGAUCUGCAUGUGAAGGGUCCCCUCCAGAUGAAAUUCACAAAGUACCAUCUGGCCCUGAGUAAAAACAUGGAUAAAUAUGAUCUCAGAUGAGGACUACAGGGUAUGCAGUAAUAACAUUUUUUUUAUCCCACAUUACAAUUAAAAUUAUUUUCAAGGUG